This 1557-nucleotide ribosomal RNA is filed under the name Salmonella enterica. RNAcentral's name for it is "partial 23S ribosomal RNA". It matches the Rfam family "Bacterial large subunit ribosomal RNA", at positions 161 to 1757 of the family's 2925-position model. The record is from RNAcentral. Lineage: Bacteria; Pseudomonadati; Pseudomonadota; Gammaproteobacteria; Enterobacterales; Enterobacteriaceae. RNAcentral also lists the same sequence under 1 other name.
AAUCCAUAGGUUAAUGAGGCGAACCGGGGGAACUGAAACAUCUAAGUACCCCGAGGAAAAGAAAUCAACCGAGAUUCCCCCAGUAGCGGCGAGCGAACGGGGAGGAGCCCAGAGCCUGAAUCAGCAUGUGUGUUAGUGGAAGCGUCUGGAAAGGCGCGCGAUACAGGGUGACAGCCCCGUACACAAAAGCGCAUGUGCUGUGAGCUCGAUGAGUAGGGCGGGACACGUGGUAUCCUGUCUGAAUAUGGGGGGACCAUCCUCCAAGGCUAAAUACUCCUGACUGACCGAUAGUGAACCAGUACCGUGAGGGAAAGGCGAAAAGAACCCCGGCGAGGGGAGUGAAAAAGAACCUGAAACCGUGUACGUACAAGCAGUGGGAGCACCCUUUUGGGUGUGACUGCGUACCUUUUGUAUAAUGGGUCAGCGACUUAUAUUCUGUAGCAAGGUUAACCGCAUAGGGGAGCCGGAGGGAAACCGAGUCUUAAUUGGGCGUUAAGUUGCAGGGUAUAGACCCGAAACCCGGUGAUCUAGCCAUGGGCAGGUUGAAGGUUGGGUAACACUAACUGGAGGACCGAACCGACUAAUGUUGAAAAAUUAGCGGAUGACCUGUGGCUGGGGGUGAAAGGCCAAUCAAACCGGGAGAUAGCUGGUUCUCCCCGAAAGCUAUUUAGGUAGCGCCUCGUGAAUUCAUCUCCGGGGGUAGAGCACUGUUUCGGCUAGGGGGCCAUCCCGGCUUACCAACCCGAUGCAAACUGCGAAUACCGGAGAAUGUUAUCACGGGAGACACACGGCGGGUGCUAACGUCCGUCGUGAAGAGGGAAACAACCCAGACCGCCAGCUAAGGUCCCAAAGUCAUGGUUAAGUGGGAAACGAUGUGGGAAGGCCCAGACAGCCAGGAUGUUGGCUUAGAAGCAGCCAUCAUUUAAAGAAAGCGUAAUAGCUCACUGGUCGAGUCGGCCUGCGCGGAAGAUGUAACGGGGCUAAACCAUGCACCGAAGCUGCGGCAGCGACGCUUAUGCGUUGUUGGGUAGGGGAGCGUUCUGUAAGCCUGCGAAGGUGGCCUGUGAGGGUUGCUGGAGGUAUCAGAAGUGCGAAUGCUGACAUAAGUAACGAUAAAGCGGGUGAAAAGCCCGCUCGCCGGAAGACCAAGGGUUCCUGUCCAACGUUAAUCGGGGCAGGGUGAGUCGACCCCUAAGGCGAGGCCGAAAGGCGUAGUCGAUGGGAAACGGGUUAAUAUUCCCGUACUUGGUGUUACUGCGAAGGGGGGACGGAGAAGGCUAUGUUGGCCGGGCGACGGUUGUCCCGGUUUAAGCGUGUAGGUGUGUGUUCCAGGUAAAUCCGGUUCACUUUAACACUGAGGCGUGACGACGAGGCACUACGGUGCUGAAGCAACAAAUGCCCUGCUUCCAGGAAAAGCCUCUAAGCAUCAGGUAACAUCAAAUCGUACCCCAAACCGACACAGGUGGUCAGGUAGAGAAUACCAAGGCGCUUGAGAGAACUCGGGUGAAGGAACUAGGCAAAAUGGUGCCGUAACUUCGGGAGAAGGCACGCUGACAC